GCGUACAUUCCGGGGCAGGCAGAGGCGGCCUCGAGAGGUCCAUCCGCGGGCCCCUGGUAGAACCCGUUUCCGAACGGAUUCGUGGCGGUCCCGGCCAAUAGGCCCGCUAAGCUGAUCACCAUCCCGUCAAGGCCCACGUCGUUGUUGGGCGCGAUGAGGGCCGGGUUUUGCGGACCGUAAAUAGGCUGGUGGAAGGGCCACGCGCAUUGGCCCGGGCACUGCGUCUCCGAGUUUCCGACCCAAAUGUAGGCAAACUUGUAAGUUUUUCCGUCGAUUUGAGCGCCCUUGGAGGACCCGUGGGUCCCGC
RNAcentral lists this long non-coding RNA (307 nucleotides) under Actinidia chinensis (golden kiwifruit). RNAcentral's name for it is "long non-coding RNA (ACHI_LNC007231)". Lineage: Eukaryota; Viridiplantae; Streptophyta; Magnoliopsida; Ericales; Actinidiaceae. The record is from RNAcentral.